RNAcentral lists this ribosomal RNA (699 nucleotides) under uncultured bacterium. Its description in RNAcentral is "bacterial SSU rRNA". It matches the Rfam family "Bacterial small subunit ribosomal RNA", at positions 1 to 683 of the family's 1533-position model. The record is from RNAcentral.
AGAGGUUUGAUCCUGGCUCAGAAUGAACGCUGGCGGCGUGCUUAACACAUGCAAGUCGAGCGAGAAAGUUCCCUUCGGGGGGCGAGUAAAGCGGCGAACGGGUGAGUAACACGUGGGCAAUCUGCCCAGAAGCGGGGGAUAACCUAGGGAAACUUGGGCUAAUACCGCAUACGUCUUCGAGGCUCUGGCCUCGAAGGGAAAGCUGGCCUAUACACGUAAGCUGGCACUUCUGGAGGAGCCCGCGUUCGAUUAGCUUGAUGGUGGGGUAAUGGCCUACCAUGGCGACGAUCGAUAGCCGGCCUGAGAGGGUGAUCGGCCACACUGGGACUGAGACACGGCCCAGGCUCCUACGGGAGGCAGCAGUGGGGAAUAUUGGACAAUGGGGGAAACCCUGAUCCAGCAACGCCGCGUGGAGGACGAAGGCCCUCGGGUCGUAAACUCCUGUCAGAUGGGACGAAAAGGCGCAGGUCAAUAGCCUGUGUUCAUGACGGUACCACCAGAGGAAGCCCCGGCUAACUCCGUGCCAGCAGCCGCGGUAAUACGGAGGGGGCUAGCGUUAUUCGGAAUUACUGGGCGUAAAGGGCGCGUAGGCGGCCUGGCAAGUUGAAGGUGAAAUCCCUCGGCUCAACCGAGGAACUGCCUUCAAAACUGCCAGGCUAGAGUAUGGGAGGGGACAGUGGAAUUCCCGGUGUAGCGGUG